Molecule: ribosomal RNA, 492 nt
Filed under: uncultured bacterium
Lineage: Bacteria
Description: partial 16S ribosomal RNA
Rfam family: Bacterial small subunit ribosomal RNA
Source: RNAcentral
AGUGAACGCUGGCGGUAGGCCUAACACAUGCAAGUCGAACGGCAGCACAGUAAGAGCUUGCUCUUAUGGGUGGCGAGUGGCGGACGGGUGAGGAAUACAUCGGAAUCUACUUUUUCGUGGGGGAUAACGUAGGGAAACUUACGCUAAUACCGCAUACGACCUACGGGUGAAAGCAGGGGAUCUUCGGACCUUGCGCGAUUGAAUGAGCCGAUGUCGGAUUAGCUAGUUGGCGGGGUAAAGGCCCACCAAGGCGACGAUCCGUAGCUGGUCUGAGAGGAUGAUCAGCCACACUGGAACUGAGACACGGUCCAGACUCCUACGGGAGGCAGCAGUGGGGAAUAUUGGACAAUGGGCGCAAGCCUGAUCCAGCCAUACCGCGUGGGUGAAGAAGGCCUUCGGGUUGUAAAGCCCUUUUGUUGGGAAAGAAAAGCAGCAGGUUAAUACCCCGCUGUUAUGACGGUACCCAAAGAAUAAGCACCGGCUAACUUCGUG